UACGAACUGUGCGAACGUUAUUCGGAAUCACUGGGCUUAAAGGGUGCGUAGGCGGCGCUGUAAGUCAGGUGUGAAAUCCCCCGGCUCAACCGGGGAAUGGCGCUUGAAACUGCAGUGCUUGAGUGAGGUAGGGGUGCAUGGAACUUCCGGUGGAGCGGUGAAAUGUGUAGAUAUCGGAAGGAACGCCGGCGGCGAAAGCGGUGCACUGGGCCUUGUCUGACGCUGAGGCACGAAAGCUAGGGUAGCGAAC
Molecule: ribosomal RNA, 250 nt
Filed under: uncultured bacterium
Lineage: Bacteria
Description: partial 16S ribosomal RNA
Rfam family: Bacterial small subunit ribosomal RNA
Source: RNAcentral